Molecule: ribosomal RNA, 301 nt
Filed under: uncultured bacterium
Lineage: Bacteria
Description: partial 16S ribosomal RNA
Rfam family: Bacterial small subunit ribosomal RNA
Source: RNAcentral
CAGUCGCCGCGGUAAAACGAGGGGAGCUAGGGUUGUUCGGAAUUACUGGGCGUAAAGCGCGCGUAGGCGGCUUUUUAAGUCAGAGGUGAAAGCCCGGGGCUCAACCCCGGAAUUGCCUUUGAAACUGGAAAGCUAGAAUCUUGGAGAGGUCAGUGGAAUUCCGAGUGUAGAGGUGAAAUUCGUAGAUAUUCGGAAGAACGCCAGUGGCGAAGGCGACUGACUGGACAAGUAUUGACGCUGAGGUGCGAAAGCGUGGGGAGCAAACAGGAUUAGAUACCCCUGUAGUCCCUGUCUCUUAUAC